CCCUUAGAGUUUGAUCCUGGCUCAGAAUCAACGCUGGCGGCGUGCCUAACACAUGCAAGUCGAGCGAGAAAGGGGCUUCGGCCCCGAGUAAAGCGGCGCGCGGGUGAGUAACACGUGGAUAACCUGCCUUGGAGUGGGGAAUAACACCGGGAAACCGGUGCUAAUACCGCAUACGAUGACGAGAUCUGCGGAUUUUGUCAUGAAAGGAGCAAUUCGCUCCAAGAGGGGUCCGCGGCUGAUUAGCUAGUUGGUGAGGUAAUGGCUCACCAAGGCAACGAUCAGUAGCCGGUCUGAGAGGACGGUCGGCCACACUGGAACUGAGACACGGUCCAGACUCCUACGGGAGGCAGCAGUGGGGAAUUUUUGGCAAUGGGCGCAAGCCUGACCAAGCAACGCCGCGUGGGUGAUGAAGUCUCUUGGGACGUAAAACCCUUUCGACAGGGAAGAAACCGCAAGGUUGACGGUACCUGUAGAAGAAGCCCCGGCUAACUCCGUGCCAGCAGCCGCGGUAAUACGGGGGGGGCAAGCGUUGUUCGGAAUUACUGGGCGUAAAGGGCGCGUAGGCGGUUUGCUAAGUUGGAUGUGAAAACUCUGGGCUCAACCCAGAGCCUGCAUCCAAAACUGGCAGGCUAGAGUUCUGGAGGGGAAAGCGGAAUUCCUGGUGUAGCGGUGAAAUGCGUAGAUAUCAGAGGAACACCGGUGGCGAAAGCGGCUUUCUGGACAGAAACUGACGC
Molecule: ribosomal RNA, 734 nt
Filed under: uncultured bacterium
Lineage: Bacteria
Description: bacterial SSU rRNA
Rfam family: Bacterial small subunit ribosomal RNA
Source: RNAcentral